ACACAUGCAGUCGAGGGGCAGCACGGGAGUAGCAAUACAACUGGUGGCGACCGGCGCACGGGUGAGUAACGCGUAUGCAACCUACCUAUCAGAGGGGAAUAACCCGGCGAAAGUCGGACUAAUACCGCAUAAAACAGGGGCACCGCAUGGUGAUAUUUGUUAAAGAAAUUCGCUGAUAGAUGGGCAUGCGUUCCAUUAGGUAGUUGGUGAGGUAACGGCUCACCAAGCCGACGAUGGAUAGGGGAACUGAGAGGUUGGUCCCCCACACUGGUACUGAGACACGGACCAGACUCCUACGGGAGGCAGCAGUGAGGAAUAUUGGUCAAUGGGCGGGAGCCUGAACCAGCCAAGUCGCGUGAAGGAAGAAGGAUCUAUGGUUCGUAAACUUCUUUUGCAGGGGAAUAAAGUGCAGGACGUGUCCUGUUUUGUAUGUACCCUGAGAAUAAGGAUCGGCUAACUCCGUGCCAGCAGCCGCGGUAAUACGGAGGAUCCGAGCGUUAUCCGGAUUUAUUGGGUUUAAAGGGUGCGUAGGUGGUUUGAUAAGUCAGCGGUGAAAGUUUGCAGCUUAACUGUAAAAAUGCCGUUGAAACUGUCGGACUUGAGUGUAAAUGAGGUAGGCGGAAUGCGUGGUGUAGCGGUGAAAUGCAUAGAUAUCACGCAGAACUCCGAUUGCGAAGGCAGCUUACUAAGCUACAACUGACACUGAAGCACGAAAGCGUGGGGAUCAAACAGGAUUAGAUACCCUGGUAGUCCACGCAGUAAACGAUGAUUACUAGCUGUUUGCGAUACACAGUAAGGCGGGCACCAGCGAAAGGCGUU
This 819-nucleotide ribosomal RNA is filed under the name uncultured bacterium. Its description in RNAcentral is "bacterial SSU rRNA". It matches the Rfam family "Bacterial small subunit ribosomal RNA", at positions 51 to 861 of the family's 1533-position model. The record is from RNAcentral.